AAUCCUCUCGUGCGGCCCAACAAACUCACCACACUACACGGACUUUGUUACAACCACCACCGAGUACCGUCCGUCCAUGAAUCCUCUAGGCGUAGGCCCAUCUAUAUGCCCAUGCCUAGCCCUUGCCAUGCCCCACCGUAUUAUGGGAGAGGAUCACCACCACGCGCAGGAAAGCGAGUACAGGGCCACCGCACGCAAUCUUCGACUCGCCAUCGAUUCAUCCUGGAUGAGCGCACUGUGGAUGUCACCAGGGAGCCAUGGAAGCUAGUGCAGACAUCACUCGGGACCGGAGAUGCCCUGCUCACGGUGGAUUGCACACCGACGGAAGUCUCAGCCAUGAAUCUGCCCCACACCGCGAGUCGAUCUCUUCGUGACAUCACCACUGGAGAAGAAAAGGUAUCGCCAGAGGAGACUACUACGAUGAGAUCUAGGUGUCGUCUCCUAGUCAAUUGUUGGCGCCGAGGAAAUAAUUAUCUUAGUUCAAUUUAUUUAUUAUCAAUUAUUUUGUAAGACAUUUUCAUUGUGUAAUAAAGAUUAUGACAUUUGUCUCUAUACACUGAGUCAUUGUAUGUGUGGACCUUUACUUGGUGCACAUAUGAGA
Zea mays is the source of this 601-nucleotide long non-coding RNA. RefSeq lists it as uncharacterized. The transcript is spliced from 2 exons. The record is from RefSeq and is a predicted model, not a curated record. Lineage: Eukaryota; Viridiplantae; Streptophyta; Magnoliopsida; Poales; Poaceae.